CUUUGCAUUUGUGUUUUGUUUCUCUUUUUGUUCUGUCAUGUUUUAAGUUCAUUUUCUGUUUAGUUUUUGAAAGGUUCCUGUGUUGUCGUGUUUUCCUUUUGUUCUCCAUCUGCCCUCAAUAUUUCCACCUGUCUCGUCUGUUCUGUAUGUAUUUAAGUCCUGUCUUUCCCUUCCUCCUGUGCUGAUCCAUAGUUGGCUGUUAGUUUUGCUGUCCACCAGUUCUUGCAUUAUUACAGUUUCAAGUUUGCCUGCCUGCUGCAGUAGAGUUUGUUUAGCUUUUGGACUUUAGUUAUGAAAGACCUGUGUUGUAACCUUCUGUCUCCACCUCUCUGCGCCUGGGUGCUGUGGAAAUUAUAAUCAAAUAUGUAUAGUGGGAAUCAUAAUCAGAUAUGUAUUUCUGUUAUAUAAAUGUGUUGUAAACUUAAGCCUGACGAAGAAUGUGUCUCUAUUGUGAAAGGUGAAAGAACGCUCAGCAGCAGCUCAAAAGGGAAGUGAAAGAUGUGAUUAAGAGCACCCCCCACGCUUACCGUUAUGCUUUGUCAGCACCUCCUUAUUUGGUAGAGACAAAUGUAAGAAGCUGAAUGAGUAGGAAGUGAAUCAUGAAUUGUGAAACAGGAUUCAAGUGUUCAAUAAAAAGAGACCCUGCAGAAGGGAGAACCCAGAAUUGACACAGACUGUGAGGAGAGGUUGUGAACAGCUGUGUUGAAUUCUCCCUCUGCAGAGGCGAACCAAAGUUUCAGAGUGUGAAGUGUCAUUAUUAGAACUUCCAACUACAGGAUCCUUUUGACUCCAAAUUGAAGAACCUGGGGAAGUCAAUUUGGACUUCAACAGUGUUUACCUCAUUCCCUGCCAUAACAAGGGAUUUUAGUUCCCUGCUUCAGAAGCUGAGCUGACGACAUGAGGGCAAGGUUGAUCCUGCAGUAGCACCGGGAGCAGAAACUAUGACAUAGUUUUAAAAGGGAAUCAUCUGACCGUUUUUUUUACUGCCUCCAGCAGUUUUGAAAACGUUUAAGAAGCAAAUUCUCGUUUAAGUCUGGACAGAUGAACUUGUCUUCUACUCACAGGCGAACAGGAAAUACUGAAUAAGUUGGAGCUUACAGCUAACAAAGGAGUGCAAAAAUGACCAUGUUGUGGGUCUGGACCUGUUUCUUCUGGUGUUGUGUAUCAGUGGUCCAUUCAGGAAAGGUGCUUGUCUUCCCUGUUGAUGGGAGCCACUGGGUGAACAUGAGAGUCAUCAUAGAGGAGCUGCAUUCCAGGGGCCACCAGGUUACUGUCAUCCGACACACAGACAGCUGGUACAUCAAGGAGACCUCCCCGUUCUACACCUCUAUUACAGUGAAUUUGAAGAACGACAGUAAAAACAUUGUUGCUUCUUUCGUGUCCAAGAACAUUGAGAUUAAGAGGAGAAGAAAUCCAGCCUGGUUGCGUUUUCUACAGGAAAUAGAACAUUUUCCCCAAUUUCUUGAAUUCCAUAAAAUCACAUGCACCACUCUUGAGAGAAUUUUUGAAAAUCAAGAGCUAAUGCAGUUGUUAAAAAACACCAAUUAUGACCUAAUCCUGACUGAUCCGGCCACACCAGGAGGGGCCAUUCUUGCACAUUACUUGAAGUUGCCUCUUGUUUUCAAUGUCCGAUGGACCACUCAUGGUGAAGGCCAUUUCAUAAUCGCACCUUCUCCUCUGUCUUAUAUUCCAGUUGGAAUAGAGUUCUCGGACAAAAUGAGCUUCUUCCACAGAGUCAUAAAUGUUCUAUUUUUUUACUUUGGUCAGCACAGUUUUGAGAAAAUGAUCACACCCCACUAUCAAGAUUUCAUGAAGAAAUAUUUUGGCCCAGAUGUUGACUUCUAUUCUAUGUUCCAAGCUGCAGACCUGUGGCUCAUGAGAGUGGACUUUGUGUUUGAGUUCCCUCGUCCCACCAUGCCCAAUGUGGUCUAUAUGGGAGGGUUCCAGUGUAAACCUGCUAAACCGCUUCCUGAUCACUUGGAGGAGUUUGUGCAGAGUUCUGGAGAGCAUGGAUUCAUCAUCAUGUCACUGGGAACAUUGAUUGCAGAUCUGCCCGCUGACUUAGCUGAAGAGAUCGCUGCAGCUUUUGCUGAAUUACCACAGAAAGUCAUCUGGAGGUACAAAGGCAGCAGACCCUCCACUCUGGGGAACAACACCUUACUGGUUGAUUGGCUGCCACAGAAUGACCUUCUGGGACAUCCACACAUUCAAUUGUUUGUCAGUCAUGGAGGAACUAAUGGAAUCUAUGAGGCUAUUUAUCACGGAGUCCCAGUUGUAGGGAUUCCAAUUGUCUUUGAUCAAGCCGACAACCUCUCCAAACUGAGGGUCAGAGGAGUGGCGAGGACGGUGGAAAUCUCUGAUCUGAAUAGGACAAACUUUCAAGAAGCCAUUCAGGACGUCCUGAAUGAUCCGUCCUACAGGAUGAACAUGCAGAGACUCUCCAGGCUGCACAGAGAUCAGCCGAUGAGGCCGCUGGAUACUGCCCUCUUCUGGAUAGAGUUUGUCAUGAGACACAAAGGAGCUGCUCACCUGAGAACAGAGUCCUACAAGCUGCCCUGGUACUCCUACCACUCUGUGGAUGUCAUAAUGUUUCUGCUAGCAGCUGCUGUGCUUCUGUUGUUCUCAAUCUUUGGUUUUGUCUGGUUUUGUUUCAGACUGUGUGUUCAAAGAAAACAGAAAUGUGACUAAGUUCAUGUUUCAUUGCAGCAAAGCAAAACAGUAAUUUUCGAUCAUUCGAAUUUAAGAACAGUUUUUAUUUUUUCUGAAUGUAUUAAAAAUCUUCAGUUGCUUGUGUGUUCAAAAAACCUUUUUCUACUUUGUUCUCUUAAUCAUUGUACAAACAGUCUCACCAAACUGCAAAUACUUUCCAAAGUGAAAUUUGUGGUCAUAAAGCGUUGUAGAUACACAAUGUGUCAACAAUAUCUAUAACAGAACAGUCGUGCAAACAUUACACAAUUAAUCUAUAAAGACCACUAAAGAUCUUGAAUGUUUCUCCAUCAUCCAAAUAUCUCUUUCAUUGCACUAUGAUCUGAAGAGAAAAGCAAAAUAUCUGAAAGAGAAAUAGAUUUAAAGUUAUUUCACAUAUACUUCGAGUUAUACAUAAAUUUAUACACAUUUAAUUUUGUUAUUCAAAAAACAAUACAAGGAGACAAAUUAGACUGUUUCACAUUUUAUUUGAGAGAAUGUUCUUCAGAGAAGAACAAAGUACUAAACUGCUUAGGAUCCCCAAAAAAUAUCUUCUGGGUUGUUAUGGUUUUAGUUUCUCUGCGUUUGUGUUUUGUUUCUCUCUUUGUUCUGUCAUGUUUUGAGUUUAUUUCUUGUUUAAUUUUGAAAGGUUCCUGUGUUGUCGUGUUUUCGAGUUUUCCUUUUGUUCUCCAUCUGCCCUCAAUAUUUCCACCUGUCUCGUCUGUUCUGUAUGUAUUUAAGUCCUGUCUUUCCCUUCCUCCUGUGCUGAUCCAUAGUUGGCUGUUAGUUUUGCUGUCCCCCAUUUCUUGUAUUAUUACAGUUUCAAGUUUG
This is a non-coding RNA of Oryzias latipes (Japanese medaka), 3516 nucleotides long. The record is from RefSeq and is a predicted model, not a curated record. NCBI's taxonomy places the organism in Eukaryota, Metazoa, Chordata, Actinopteri, Beloniformes, Adrianichthyidae.